AUAAAAAAAAGGUUGAAAAAAAAAAUGUCAAUUAACAGUUUGUCCCAACCAAGUAAUUUCAAUGCUAAUAUUUUGUAUGAUCCUCACAGCCAAUUAUGAAAUUAGAAAUUCCAGUGUAGAAUAUGUACUAAAAUGAAUGUCAUUUCAAGAAAGAUUAAUGCCUUAAUGAAAGGUAAAACCUUGUUCAAGCAUUAAAUCAUUCUUUUUUUAAGAAACAAUGAUGAGUGUGAAUAUUGUUCUAACCAGUUGUAUUUUUUACUUGCAAGUAAACAAUGUAGAUUAAGAAUAGGUAAAUAGAAAUGAAGAUCUGAUGACAACAUGAAAAAUGAAGAGUUCCAAUA
RNAcentral lists this unclassified non-coding RNA (341 nucleotides) under Hevea brasiliensis (rubber tree). Lineage: Eukaryota; Viridiplantae; Streptophyta; Magnoliopsida; Malpighiales; Euphorbiaceae. The record is from RNAcentral.